This 2750-nucleotide long non-coding RNA is filed under the name Sus scrofa (pig). RNAcentral's name for it is "lncRNA (ENSSSCG00035073610.1)". Lineage: Eukaryota; Metazoa; Chordata; Mammalia; Artiodactyla; Suidae. The record is from RNAcentral.
UUGAAGAAAUAUACACCAGUAGGUUCCUAGAACAAAUUUAAAAAUUAUUAGCAAAUACUUUGUAACAUUUUUGUAAAUGAGUUGCAAACAAGAAAACAAGAGAAAGGUCCUACUGUAUAGCACAGGGAACUAUAUGAAAUGUCCUCUAAUAAACCAGAAUGUAAAUGAAUAUGAGAAAGAAAAUAUAUACAUAUAACUGAAUCACAUUGCUGAACACCAGAAACUAAUACAAACUUGUAAAUCAACUAUAUUUUAAUUUUAAAAAGGAUAUAAUAGAAAGAGAAGAUUAUUACCAGAAUGAACCCUAGUUACCAUAUUGAAAGAGACACAAAACAUUUCAGUGUGUUUGAGUUCCUGUUGUGGUGCAGUGGUUAACGAAUCUGACUAGGAACCAUGAGGUUGCAGGUUCGAUCCCUGGCCUUGUUCAGUGGGUUAAGGAUCUGGCGUUGUCAUGAGCUGUGGUGUAGGUUGCUGUGCCUCUGGCAUAGGCUGGCGUCUACAGCUCUGAUUCAACCCCUAGCCUGGGAAAAUCUCCAUGUGCCAUGGAAGCGGCCCUAGAAAAGGCAAAAAGACAAAAAAUAAAUAAAUAAAUAAAUAGAUAGAUAAUAAAAAAAAAUUAAAAAAUUUCAGUGUCUGGAAAGCUAUAAAAGCAGUUUUAAAGAUUUAGGUUACCAAAGUGAUGGGAGAAAAAAAAUUGAAAACAGAAGAGAUAGGAAGCCAUUUUAGCUAUAUCUGAAAUAUUUUAUUUAUUUUUGAAAGGUCCAAAAUCUUAACACAUAGCCCUCUUUUAUAUGCAGAUUGGUUUGAAAUAUCUCCUAAUUUGAAAUAAUAAUGGUAAGAGGUAUGUUGGACACAGAUUUAAAAGAGCUCUGUUUACUUCAUGUGAAUAGGCAGCUCAAAUGGCCCCUAUAUUUGUAGAAAGGACGAGAAGUCAAAUUGUGAUGAGAAAAGCUACAGUUAAAUAUUAGGGAAAAUGUAGAUAUUCAACUGAAAACAAGGCCAAUUUGGUGUUGGAGAGGAGAGUGAUCUCAUGAUUUAUUUGCUCAUUUAAGUAGAGAAUGGUUAUUUCAGGUUGAAGACAGUAAAUUACUCUGAAGUCCUACCCAUUUGUGCUUGUUGGGGCUUCUGAGUGACUUUACUUUUGUGGAUAAUAAGGUGAUGACUCAGCCACAGCUCACAGAACUCCAAAUCCCACAUCCCAGGAGGUAGCUGAAGAAAAGGCAGCUUCUCAGAAGCCUCUCCAAACCAGCAUGUCUCCAAGGUCUGUCUUGAGUGUCACAGCCAAUAUCACCAGCUCCAGGCCCCACUUCCAGACUUGAUGACCACAUAACAAGCCCUCACCAAGCACUGCUAAGAUGUUAUGAGGCCAUAAAGACACAGAGGUUUAUGUCAACACCAGGAGUCGAGGGGUCCUGCCUCUGCAGGACCUCUGUACUUUGCAAACAAAGACACCUGAGAUUGUACAUGUGGGUUUAUCUGUGAACUGGACUUGAUCUCCCCAAACCCCAGGCUUACUAUAGUUCUGUAAUAACAGGCAUGUUGGAAUGAAUGCAGAAAAACUCCUUGUUUUCAGAUACAUCCCAACCCAAAACAGAAGGGAAGGGAUACAGGAUGCUUAGUCAACAGAACACAUUCUGUGCAUGUUGGGGUGUUAAUGGAGGUACAAGAGGGAAAAAAUAGAAGAUGCAAAAGGGUGAGGUCCUGGGAACAGAAGAGGGGAUGGGGGAGCAGUUUGCUACAAGUAGCGAUCACAAAACGAAGGCCAUUGGAAUAUGUUCUGGCCAUGACUUUAUAGAAAAACCCUAGGGAGGAGCUUUUAGGAGAAUGGCUUCCCUACUGAGGAAGAGAGACAGAAGGGCAUCUAAAAGUAAAAUCAUGAUGUGGAAACAGCUCAUCAGAGAUCUAUGUAAACCUUUGGCAGAUUGCCCAGGUGGCCACUGCCCUCAUAUCUCUCCUUGUGGGAUUUUCUGUGGAAUGUCCCUCCAGUUCUGUCUGUUAAAAUUCCACCCAGCUUCUCCCCUCCAAUGAAUUUGUGCGUGUGUGUGUUUGUGUCUUUUUAGGACCCCACCCAUGGCAUAUGGAAGAUCCCAGGCUAGGGGUUGAAUUGGGGCUACAGCUGCUGGUUUACACCACAGCCACAGCAAUUUGGGAUCUAAGCAACAUCUGUGACCUACACCAUAGCUCACAGCAAUGCUGGAUCCUUAACCCACUGAGUGAAGCCAGGAAUUGAACCUGUGUACUCAUGGAUGAUAGUCAGAUUCAUUUUGGCUGAGUCAUCAUGGGAACUCCUGAUGAGCCAUUUUUAUUGUUUUUUAUUUUUAUUUUUAAUUUUGUUUUAUUAUUUUAAAAAUCAAUUUUGUUUGAAUACAAUUACAUAUAUGAAGUGCAGAGAUUUUAGGUACACAUUUCAGUCAGUUCUUUUUUAACCUUUUCUCUUCUUUUGUUAAAAUUUUAUUUAUUCAUUUAUUUGCUUUUUAGGGCUGCACCUGUGGCAUAUGGAAGUUUCUGGGCUAGGGGUGUAAUCCACUAUAGCUGCCAGCUACAUCACAGCCACAGCAACACUGGAUCCGAGCUGCAUCUGUCUGUGAAUCUACACCACAGCUCACAGCAAUGCCGGAUCUGAGCAAGGCCAAGGAUCAAACCCAUAUCCUCAUGGAUACCAGUUGGGUUCAUUAACCACUGAGCCACAAUGGGAACUCCUCAAUGUUUCUUUUUUAAAGGACAUUAAAAUAGCUUACCAUUCAGAGAAU